Long non-coding RNA from Pygocentrus nattereri (red-bellied piranha), 625 nucleotides. RefSeq lists it as uncharacterized. The transcript is spliced from 2 exons. The record is from RefSeq and is a predicted model, not a curated record. NCBI's taxonomy places the organism in Eukaryota, Metazoa, Chordata, Actinopteri, Characiformes, Serrasalmidae.
UUUAGAUACUUGCAGAAAUAUUUAAUAGUUUGAUGUGAACUCCCUCAAAGCUUUAACACAAAAUUAUAUGUGUGUUUUAAGCUCGGUUCUCUGUAAAAAAAAGUUUUCUUUUGGGGUUCCCCCUUUAUUUGUUGUACAUGGGGCACUAAUUAGCGCUACACCACGCCUGAAAGCUGUGCGCUUUCUCGGGCUAUUCAGUCACAUGGUGACCGCUGGACUGGUAAGAUGUGCAUUCACUCUCUCUCGUGUAAAAGUCCCUCUUUAGGAGCUUAGAGCUCUAUAAAUCUGAUGAAGGAUGUAUUAUAACCUCAUAGUGAAGCUGAAUUGCCGUUCUUAAUGAGAACACAGCGCAAAUAGUGUUUUUAACCCCAGUUUUGUGCCUCAUGAGUUUUUUGCCUUGUGCAGGAGAGGGAGAGAGAGCGUGAGCCUGUCUGCCUGCGUGCGUGUGUUAUGCUAACUCUGCCCCAUGUUUUGUGCUCAGGAAAACUGACACAGUCACAUGGUGACCGCUGGACUGGAGAGGGAGAGAGAGCGUGAGCCUGUCUGCCUGCGUGCGUGUGUUAUGCUAACUCUGCCCCAUGUUUUGUGCUCAGUUCCAGCAAUAAAAUCCUGAAGUCUGACUCUA